This 973-nucleotide long non-coding RNA is filed under the name Helianthus annuus (common sunflower). The record is from RNAcentral. Lineage: Eukaryota; Viridiplantae; Streptophyta; Magnoliopsida; Asterales; Asteraceae.
AUGGUGCACCCCAUCGAGCAAGGCACACUUCUCCGGCGACACCUAAACCCCACCCCCUCGACGUUAUUUCACGGGAACAAACCCACCGGCUCCUGUCUUGUUACUUCGACAUGCACAACCGGCAAGAAAAGAGAGUGAGACAGCGGCUGUGGAGGUGGUUGAGCUAGAGAGAAGCGACGGAGCAGUCCGGCGACUGCCGUCGGCGGCGGCGACAUGUCGGGUUACCGGCGUAAGUGGUGCAGGUUCAGUCGAGCCUUGUUUCGGCCUGGGUUUCAGCGGCGGUGACUCGCUUCAUUUCGGGGCAUGUCCAGGUUCGGUUCCGUCAGUUCAGAUCGAGUCGGAUUUUGGCACCGAAUUGUUUCAGUUCCGGUUUCGGGUUCAAGUUUCGGCCGACGUCAACCAGCUUUAGUUGACAUCAGUUAGGUUUGUAUUCAUUACAGGUCACGGCUAGUCAAACAGUAAACACGGAUCAGUUUUAUUGUCGGGUCAACGAUUUCGUUUCGGUCAACAGCAGUCAACUGCGGUCAACGUUCCAGUUCUAGUCUCAGCUCAGUUUCUAUUCGGGUCAAACCUGGUCCAAGUCAGUCAAACCCGGUCAACGCAAGGCCAAACCGGUUAUCUGAUCGAUACACGUUAAACACGAGACUUGGUUUGAUAAUGGGUAAUCACUCUCGUGCGUUCGGUUUUUCCUAUCUUUUCCCUCGCGCGUUAUUUCAAGGAAUCUCCAUACGCAAACACGAUGAGCAUACUCGACCCCUUUUUUUACACUUUAACGCGUUUUGGGGUGCAACAUGUAUCAUUUAACAAAAAUUCAUAUUAUACGAAAUCAAACGUAUUCCCGAUAUGCUUACGUUAGUUAUGCACGCUAGUUUCAGUUUGUACGUACAUGUUAUUUGUGACGCUUGUGUUAGUUAUACUUGCUAGUUUCAACUUGUAUUCCUAUGAUAUUGUUAUGCUUAGGCCGUUUAUGCAU